RNAcentral lists this unclassified non-coding RNA (355 nucleotides) under soil metagenome. RNAcentral's name for it is "partial contains 5.8S ribosomal RNA, internal transcribed spacer 2, and large subunit ribosomal RNA". The stretch from base 1 to 120 matches the Rfam family "5.8S ribosomal RNA", at positions 35 to 154 of the family's 154-position model. The record is from RNAcentral.
GAUGAAGAACGUAGCGAAAUGCGAUAAGUAAUGUGAAUUGCAGAAUUCAGUGAAUCAUCGAAUCUUUGAACGCACAUUGCGCCCAUUAGUAUUCUAGUGGGCAUGCCUGUUCGAGCGUCAUUAAGUCCACUUAAGCCCUGCUUAGUGUUGGGAGACUGCUCCAGCGGUGCUACCCUGUAGCUACCCUGCGGCUCCUCAAAGACAGCGGCGGAGUUGUGGUAUCCUCUGAGCUUAGUAACUUGUUCUAGCUUUCGAGUACACCACUUCCCCUGCCGUAAAACCCUUAAUUUUUAAUGGUUGACCUCGGAUCAGGUAGGAAUACCCGCUGAACUUAAGCAUAUCAAUAAGCGGAGGA